Molecule: ribosomal RNA, 253 nt
Filed under: uncultured bacterium
Lineage: Bacteria
Description: partial 16S ribosomal RNA
Rfam family: Bacterial small subunit ribosomal RNA
Source: RNAcentral
UACGUAGGGGGCAAGCGUUGUCUGGAAUCAUUGGGCGUAAAGAGCGUGUAGGCGGCCAGAUAAGUCCGCUGUGAAAACUCGAGGCUCAACCUCGAGCUGUCGAUGGAAACCAUCUGGCUAGAGUCCGGAAGAGGAGAGUGGAAUUCCUGGUGUAGCGGUGAAAUGCGCAGAUAUCAGGAAGAACACCCGUGGCGAAGGCGGCUCUCUGGUACGUGACUGACGCUGAGACGCGAAAGCGUGGGGAGCGAACAGG